Molecule: long non-coding RNA, 836 nt
Organism: Pipra filicauda (Wire-tailed manakin)
Lineage: Eukaryota; Metazoa; Chordata; Aves; Passeriformes; Pipridae
Exons: 3
Source: RefSeq, a predicted model, not a curated record
UCCCCGGGGCUGAUGUCACAGCGUGGUGGGUUCUGUGUUCCGGGUACUUGGGCUUUUGGCGUGGGGGUGGGGGCAGGAGCAACAUAGAAUCGUAGAACCAUAGAAUGGUUUGUGCUGGAAGGGACAUUAGGAAUCAUGUAGUUCUGACCCCCGUGCUACAGGUGGGGAGGGAUUCCUUGCAUUAGACCAGGUUGUUCAAGGCCUGGCUCCAAACCUGUCCUUAAGCCUUCAAUGCAGAGGGCAUCUGCAGCUGCUCUGGGCAAUCUGUGCCAGUACUGCACCACCCUCACAGUCGAGAAUUUCCUUCUAAUAUGUGAUCUAAACCUACCCUCUGACAUUUUGAAGCCAUUCCCCCUUGUCCUAUCACUACUUGCCCUCGUAAGAAUUCUACCUCCAGCUUGAGCUGCUUCUGUGUUAGUGCAUUGUGAAUAAGUGGCUUUAUGGAAUGGGACAUCUCUAACUCUGCUAAGAAAACCUGGGAGUCAAUCACUACAGAAGCCUGGUCUCACUGUGUGAGAGUGGGGUGUGUAGGGAAUCAAACGGGGUACCCAUUGGCUCACUGGAGCUGCCCAUGACUCCUGAAUGGUCAGACUGAAGUUUCCUCACCAGUUUGGCAGCCUAGAUAGGAGCCUUCGUCACUACCUUGGGAGCCUCCCUUCUCUAAACAUGCAGCUGAUGGCAGCAGGCACAUUCAACUGGGAUUUUUAAAGCAGGGAGGAGCCAAAGGGUGCCGAGCAUGGAAGUCUAUCCCUUGCCCAGGGGGUGGAAUUGGAGCAAAAACAUGGUUAACCGUGAACACAGCAAACCAGGCGGGGAUAUGACAGUCUUACACUGUG